CACAGGGUGGAGCAGCUCGGUAGCUCGUUGGGCUCAUAACCCAAAGGUCGCAGGUUCAAAUCCUGCCCCUGUAACCA
Molecule: transfer RNA, 77 nt
Filed under: Shimazuella alba
Lineage: Bacteria; Bacillati; Bacillota; Bacilli; Caryophanales; Thermoactinomycetaceae
Description: Shimazuella sp. KC615 tRNA-Met
Rfam family: tRNA
About the family: Transfer RNA (tRNA) molecules are approximately 80 nucleotides in length.
Source: RNAcentral